Molecule: ribosomal RNA, 247 nt
Filed under: uncultured bacterium
Lineage: Bacteria
Description: partial 16S ribosomal RNA
Rfam family: Bacterial small subunit ribosomal RNA
Source: RNAcentral
AGAUGGCGACCGGCGCACGGGUGAGUAACACGUAUCCAACCUGCCGAUAACUCGGGGAUAGCCUUUCGAAAGAAAGAUUAAUACCCGAUGGUAUAAUCAGACCGCAUGGUUUGAUUAUUAAAGAAUUUCGGUUAUCGAUGGGGAUGCGUUCCAUUAGAUAGUAGGCGGGGUAACGGCCCACCUAGUCAACGAUGGAUAGGGGUUCUGAGAGGAAGGUCCCCCACAUUGGAGCUGAGACACGGUCCAA